Long non-coding RNA from Solea solea (common sole), 642 nucleotides. RefSeq lists it as uncharacterized. NCBI's taxonomy places the organism in Eukaryota, Metazoa, Chordata, Actinopteri, Pleuronectiformes, Soleidae. The record is from RefSeq and is a predicted model, not a curated record. The transcript is spliced from 3 exons.
GGGACUGUUUGGGCUGUAUUGUAAGCAGGUGAACUUGUUGUGGCGAUAACGCCAUUUUAUUUUUGCUAGUAACUCCAGGCUGGAGGUGUGUUUCUUUCCCCUUACCAUGAGUUUGAUGUUCUCUGCAGCACUGGAGCGACAGGUGGAGGAGGGUGUGGCGGUCAUUACCAGCAGAUGGACAUACUAUUCUAAUAAGGCCCAGAUGCACCUCAUCUGACAAACAGCAACAGGUAAUCGCUGCCCUCCCUUGCUGGAGGUGGGACUCCUCAGAAACUCCGGUCCUGUCCUGUGUAUGUCCUUCGUCCUUCUCCUGUCUCUCUCCUACUCCACUGGCUUUAAAUGUGAAACCUGGUCUGAUUCAAUCCCUCUCUCUUUCUCUCUCUCCUUUCUAUAGUGAGGUAACUGAAUCUGGCUUAAAGGAUUCCUCGUCUGCCCCUGUGUAGCGCUGUGUUUCAGAGCUGCAGCGACCAAGCCCUGCUGACAAAACAAAACUGAAAUAUUCCAGGUAGCAGCAGACACUGUUUCGAUGACACGGGGCUUUGGAAAAUGGCUCCAUUGCCUUCUACGCUCAUGCUGACACAGUACACUCUUUCCCAUCUGAGAGACCUGAAAGUCGUGUUCCUCUGGUCGUCCCCUAAGUCA